AAGCCUAGAAGACACUUGAGGAAAUGUACA
This 30-nucleotide non-coding RNA is filed under the name Homo sapiens (human). The record is from RNAcentral. Lineage: Eukaryota; Metazoa; Chordata; Mammalia; Primates; Hominidae.